AUUGGGACUUUAGCAUUUUCAUGCAAUUUAUAUCAUCAUGAUGUGCUAAUGUGUCGGUUU
This 60-nucleotide microRNA precursor is filed under the name Tribolium castaneum (red flour beetle). RNAcentral's name for it is "Tca-Mir-11624-P5_pre stem-loop". The record is from RNAcentral. Lineage: Eukaryota; Metazoa; Arthropoda; Insecta; Coleoptera; Tenebrionidae.